This 500-nucleotide ribosomal RNA is filed under the name uncultured bacterium. RNAcentral's name for it is "partial 16S ribosomal RNA". It matches the Rfam family "Bacterial small subunit ribosomal RNA", at positions 30 to 523 of the family's 1533-position model. The record is from RNAcentral.
AUUGGACGCUGGCGGCAUGCUUUACACAUGCACGUCGAACGGUAACAGGGUGCUUGCACCGCUGACGAGUGGCGAACGGGUGAGUAAUGCGUCGGAACGUGCCGAGUAGUGGGGGAUAACGCAGCGAAAGUUGUGCUAAUACCGCAUACGUACUGAGGUAGAAAGUGGGGGACCUUCGGGCCUCACGCUAUUCGAGCGGCCGGCGUCUGAUUAGCUAGUAGGUGAGGUAAAGGCUCACCUAGGCGACGAUCAGUAGCGGGUCUGAGAGGAUGAUCGUCCAGACUGGGACUGAGACACGGCCCAGACUCCUAAGGGAGUCAGCAGUGGGGAAUUUUGGACAAUGGGCGAAAGCCUGAUCCAGCCAUGCCGCGUGCAGGAUGAAGGCCUUCGGGUUGUAAACUGCUUUUGUACGGAACGAAAAGGUUUGGCCUAAUAAGCUGAGCUCAUGACGGUACCGUAAGAAUAAGCACCGGCUAACUACGUGCCAGCCGCCGCCGUAA